Carassius carassius (crucian carp) is the source of this 843-nucleotide long non-coding RNA. RefSeq lists it as uncharacterized. The transcript is spliced from 3 exons. The record is from RefSeq and is a predicted model, not a curated record. NCBI's taxonomy places the organism in Eukaryota, Metazoa, Chordata, Actinopteri, Cypriniformes, Cyprinidae.
AGUCAACCUUCACACCUUCAGCAACGCGCUUUAAAAGCUUCAAUGAAGAGACUCGUUUGUGUACUGAAGGAAUCCGCCACACAACUUCAGGAAACAUAAGGUUUAAAAAGUUUGCUCUUAAAUCACAGAUGUAACCUCAACAGCAUAUGUACGAAGCCUACAGACGGAGUGUGUCUGUGUUACAGGCGUGUGGGUCCCGAGAGACGUCAAAGAUGCAAAUACACAACUCGGAGCCGAUCUGCACCAAGACAUUGUCUUCAUUCCACUGUAAAGAUGAGUUCAUGGCUGCUUGCUGUGUCAUGGCAUUUUAACACCAUCAUAAAGUCAUUACAGAUCCAAGAGGAACAACAAUGGACAUUUCAGAUAGAUGAUGAAAGGAACAGAUGGUGUGUAGUGGAUCUGAUGUCAGCUCCAGUGAGCCUGCUGUCAUAUCAUUUGCACCUUCUCAUAUCCGAUGGCAUUCGGCUGUGGAGUCGCCUGCACACCGGACCACAGUCACUGCCAGAGGAGUGACAGGGUGCAAAGUGCAUCCCAUCAGAAAUGUAUAAAAAUAACACUAUACGCUGCUGAGUUUCAUCUUUUGGUGUGUUAGAUGGAUUCCUCUGAAUUAGCUUGAUGCUUGUUGCAUCAGUGGUGUGCAAAAACAAAAAAAAUGUGAUGAAAAGCAUUUUUGCAAAACUUUUGUGUCUUGCAGGCUCCAUUCUUGGCAAAUUAAUAGCAUGUUAGCUGUGGUUUUGUAGAGGUCCCUGAAGGUGAAGUACUGUAUGUAGUUCACUAUGGUAAAAUAGGCCUACUUUGUCCUAUUUAUUUUGUACCUGUAUCUUUCUCAAAAAAAUGUUGACU